RNAcentral lists this ribosomal RNA (490 nucleotides) under uncultured bacterium. RNAcentral's name for it is "partial 16S ribosomal RNA". It matches the Rfam family "Bacterial small subunit ribosomal RNA", at positions 30 to 507 of the family's 1533-position model. The record is from RNAcentral.
AUUGAACGCUGGCGGCAGGCCUAACACAUGCAAGUCGAACGGUAACAGGAAUACGCUUGCUUCUUUGCUGACGAGUGGCGGACGGGUGAGUAAUGUCUGGGAAACUGCCUGAUGGAGGGAGAUAACUACUGGAAACGGUAGCUAAUACCGCAUACCGUCGCAAGACCAACGAGGGGGACCUUCGGGCCUCUUGCCAUCGGAUGUGCCCAGAUGGGAUUAGCUAGUAGGUGGGGUAACGGCUCACCUAGGCGACGAUCCCUAGCUGGUCUGAGAGGAUGACCAGCCACACUGGAACUGAGACACGGUCCAGACUCCUACGGGAGGCAGCAGUGGGGAAUAUUGCACAAUGGGCGCAAGCCUGAUGCAGCCAUGCCGCGUGUAUGAAGAAGGCCUUCGGGUUGUAAAGUACUUUCAGCGGGGAGGAAGGGAGUAAAGUUAAUACCUUUGCUCAUUGACGUUACCCGCAGAAGAAGCACCGGCUAACUCCGUG